RNAcentral lists this ribosomal RNA (357 nucleotides) under uncultured Veillonellaceae bacterium. RNAcentral describes it as "partial 16S ribosomal RNA". The record is from RNAcentral. Lineage: Bacteria; Bacillati; Bacillota; Negativicutes; Veillonellales; Veillonellaceae.
GGAGUCUGGACCGUGUCUCAGUUCCAAUGUGGCCGUUCAUCCUCUCAGACCGGCUACUGAUCGUUGCCUUGGUAGGCCGUUGCCCCACCAACUAGCUAAUCAGACGCAGACCCAUCGCAAAGCGAUAGCUUACAAGUAGAGGCCAUCUUUAAUAUCUCUUUCAUGCGGAGGAGAUACAACAUUCGGUAUUAGCAGUCCUUUCGGACUGUUGUCCCCAUCUUUGCGGCAGGUUGUCUACGCGUUACUCACCCGUUUGCCACUCGACUCAAUAAAAGCAAGCUUCUAAAUCGUCUCGUUCGACUUGCAUGUGUUAAGCACGCCGCCAGCGUUCGUCCUCGAGCCAGGAGUCAAACUACU